GACGUGGCGCAGUUUGGUAGCGCGCUUGCUUUGGGAGCAAGAUGUCGCAGGUUCGAAUCCUGUCGUC
Molecule: transfer RNA, 67 nt
Filed under: mouse gut metagenome
Also listed under: 1 other name
Rfam family: tRNA
About the family: Transfer RNA (tRNA) molecules are approximately 80 nucleotides in length. Their secondary structure includes four short double-helical elements and three loops (D, anti-codon, and T loops).
Source: RNAcentral